GAGUACUAGGUGUCGGGUGAAGAACUCGGUGCCGAAGUUAACACAUUAAGUACUCCGCCUGGGGAGUACGCUCGCAAGAGUAAAACUCAAAGGAAUUGACGGGGACCCGCACAAGCAGCGGAGCAUGUGGUUUAAUUCGAAGCAACGCGAAGAACCUUACCUAAACUUGACAUACCAAUGACAGCCUUUUAAUCGAGGACUUUUACCUUCGGGUAGACAAUGGAUACAGGUGGUGCAUGGCUGUCGUCAG
This 250-nucleotide ribosomal RNA is filed under the name uncultured bacterium. RNAcentral's name for it is "partial 16S ribosomal RNA". It matches the Rfam family "Bacterial small subunit ribosomal RNA", at positions 811 to 1058 of the family's 1533-position model. The record is from RNAcentral.